GGAGUCAUGCAUAGUAAGAGAUCUUGAAAUGCCGCUCAGGAGUUUCAGAAUAGACUCAUAAGGCAGUAGGGAGUGCUGGAGGGCUGUGAGCAGGGGAGUGACCAGUGAGAGCUACACGUAGGGUGGUUAAUCCAGCUACAAGGACUGGGCUGGGACGAUCACUUGGGAGACAAUUACAAUUGUUCAGGAGAGAAGGGAGAAGGCAGAUGGCAGUGAGAAAGGCAGUAAGAGAAGGCAGGUGAAAUCAGAGGCCAAAGAUAGCAAAGAUAGAAGCAGAGGGAUUUAGGAGCUGAUUGGAUAUGCAGUCAAGGAAGAGAGUGAAACCCAACAAGGAGGUCAAGAUUUCAAGCCUGGACCAUCAGGAACAUGACGCUGCAACGAACAAAAACAAAACACAGGAGUAAGAGAGGGUGCUGUGGACAGAGGCCUUGACCCCGGCGCUUCAGACUGGAGUUCCGGUGCAACGUGGCUGUGCUGACACCUCAGCUGGGGGACCGUGUGCAGAAGCUGCCCGGGACACUCAAUUCAACAUGGCGGCGAUGGGCCGUGAGCAGAGGCCCUGCGCCCGGCACUGGAGCUGGAGCGUGAGCAGCACAGCUCCGCCCACCCCGGAAGAACUCGGCCCCCUCCCCUCCCUGGGGCCGAGAUCCCUAUAAAGCAGCCCCGCCCACAGCCUGAUGGGAGAGUCUGUGCUUUAGAGGUCUGUGCUCUAGAGGUCCCCAGCCCCCGGCGGGGGGCCUGUUAGGACCGGGGACGCACAGCAGGAGGUGAGCGGCGGGUGAGCAAGCGAGCGAAGCUUCAUCUGCCACUCCCCACGCUCGCAUGACCGCCUGAACCCCUCCCCCACCCCACCGCCGGUCCGUGGAAAAAUUGUCUUCCAUGAAACCGGUCCCUGGGGCCAAAACAGGUUGGGGACCGCUGCUCUAGAGCAUGAGCUCGCACCUCUUCAUCCUCUGAUCAAAGAAUAAAGCUUCCCUUUGCUUCUGAACUGAGCUUGGUCUCAUUCUAUUGGCUCAAAUGACACCAGGCAGGAGGACCUUUGUCUGGGUCCGACUGGAAAGGGGAAAGAAUAUGUGAGCUGGAAGACCUGGGCAGCUUAAACCUCACACCCAUCAGAAGGGCAAUUAUCAAAAAGACAACAAAUAACAAGUAUUGGCAAGGAUGUAGAGAAAAGGGAAGCUUUGAACACUGUUGGUGGGACUGCAAAUUGGUGCAGCCACUAUGAAGAGUCCUCAAAAAAUUAAAAAUAGAACUACCACACAAUCCAGCAAUUCCACUCCUCAAUAUUUGUCCAAAGAAAAUUAAAACACUAAUUUGAAGAUAUAUGCACCUCUAUGCUCAUUGCAGCAUUUUUCACAAUAGCUAAGAUAUGGAAGCAACCUAAGUGCCCACUGAUAGAUAAAUGGAUAAAGAAGAUGUGGCAUACUGUAUAUAAUGGAAUAUUACUCAGUCAUAAAAAAGGAUGAAAUCUUGCCAUUUGUGACAACAUGGAUGGACCUAGAGGGUAUUAUGCUAAGUGAAGUAAGUCAGACAGAGAAAGAAAAACACCAUAUAAUUUCACUUACAUGUGGAAUCUAAAAAACAAAACAAAUGAGCAAACAUAACAGAAACAGAAUCAUAGAUACAGAGAACAAACAGGUGGUUGCCAGAGGGGUGAGGGGUGAGGGCAGGAAAGAAAUAGGUGAGGGAGGUUAAGAAACUUCCAGUUGCAAAAUAAAUGAGUUGUGGGUAUGAAAUGUACAGUGUGGGGCAUAUAGUCAAUAACUGUGUAAUAUCUUCGUGUGGUGACAGAACAAUCAAUCAUGGUGAUUGUUUUGAAAUGUAUAGAAAUACUGAUUCACUAUAUUGUGUGCCAGGAACUAACAUCGUGUUGUAGGUUAAUUAUACUUAAAAAACCAACCAACUAAACAAACAAACAAACUCAUAGAAAAAGAGAUCAGAUUUGUGGUUACCAGAGGUGGGGGGUGGGGAGAGAGGGAAUUAGAUGAAGGCAGUCAAAGAUACAAACUUCCAGUUAAGAUAUUUAAGCACUAGGGAUGUAAUGUACAACAUGAUAAAUAUGAUUAACACUGCUGUUCGUUAUGUAUGAAAGUUGGAAAGAGAGUAAAUCCUAAAAGUUCUCAUCAUAAGGAAAAAAUUUGUUUUUCUAUUUCUUUAAUGUUCUAUCUGUGUGAGAUGAUGGAUGUUCACUAAAUUGACUGUGGUGAUCAUUUCACGAUGUAUAUAAGUCAAAUCAUUAUGUUGUACCUUAAACUUAUACAGUGCUAUAUACCAAUUAUAUCUCAA
Long non-coding RNA from Physeter macrocephalus (sperm whale), 2286 nucleotides. RefSeq lists it as uncharacterized. The transcript has 3 exons. The record is from RefSeq and is a predicted model, not a curated record. Lineage: Eukaryota; Metazoa; Chordata; Mammalia; Artiodactyla; Physeteridae.